This 520-nucleotide ribosomal RNA is filed under the name Fusarium equiseti. RNAcentral describes it as "eukaryotic LSU rRNA". The stretch from base 161 to 314 matches the Rfam family "5.8S ribosomal RNA". Lineage: Eukaryota; Fungi; Ascomycota; Sordariomycetes; Hypocreales; Nectriaceae. The record is from RNAcentral.
GAGGGAUCAUUACCGAGUUUACAACUCCCAAACCCCUGUGAACAUACCUAUACGUUGCCUCGGCGGAUCAGCCCGCGCCCCGUAAAACGGGACGGCCCGCCCGAGGACCCUAAACUCUGUUUUUAGUGGAACUUCUGAGUAAAACAAACAAAUAAAUCAAAACUUUCAACAACGGAUCUCUUGGUUCUGGCAUCGAUGAAGAACGCAGCAAAAUGCGAUAAGUAAUGUGAAUUGCAGAAUUCAGUGAAUCAUCGAAUCUUUGAACGCACAUUGCGCCCGCCAGUAUUCUGGCGGGCAUGCCUGUUCGAGCGUCAUUUCAACCCUCAAGCUCAGCUUGGUGUUGGGACUCGCGGUAACCCGCGUUCCCCAAAUCGAUUGGCGGUCACGUCGAGCUUCCAUAGCGUAGUAAUCAUACACCUCGUUACUGGUAAUCGUCGCGGCCACGCCGUUAAACCCCAACUUCUGAAUGUUGACCUCGGAUCAGGUAGGAAUACCCGCUGAACUUAAGCAUAUCAAUAAG